Molecule: long non-coding RNA, 3741 nt
Filed under: Mytilus galloprovincialis (Mediterranean mussel)
Lineage: Eukaryota; Metazoa; Mollusca; Bivalvia; Mytilida; Mytilidae
Source: RNAcentral
UUGUUUUAUGUAAUUUUAUUAUAAAAAUGAUUCUACAAAAACGGGACAGCCAUGAAAGCACCAUAUAAGGAUUUAUUGUUCUUAGAAAAUAACUCAUCAUAUUGGGUUAGAGAUCAACUCAAUAUUUGGCAGGUUUUUUCUUCCAAUACUAAUAUGUGGGUGGGUGAUUUCCAGCUUUUGAAGAAGCCAACAUUGAGAUAUCAUUAUAUAAACUAUACAUGUGUUAGCUAAUUUUCUUGUAAGUUGUCAGUUCAUUUGUAUUUUUAUCAAGAUUUGGUUAGAUAAUGUAUUGAAAUAGGUAUUGAUCCGUUGAAACAGCUUGCUUCUGAGUUCAUCAUCUUUUUAGGUUCAUCUGAUCUCCAUCAUAGUAAUUUGUAUCAAAAUUAUUCAAUUUUUAUCUAAAUGAUAACAUUAUAGUAUUGAUUGUAAGUAAGAAAAUUGGAUACAACAUGUACAGUUUGUGAUUUCUCAAUGUCAGUUUAACUUCUUCAUUUUCAAAUUUUCAUUUUGAGGGGUGGGAACAGUAAGAAAAACACUAUUUAUCUGAAGAAUAGACAAAUUCACAAUAUUAUAAAACAAUACACAAAUUGUUAAUCAGAAACAAUUUUUGAAUCUAUACCUUCUGUUUGGUUGCAUGUGAAUCAUAUAAAAAAAAAGCCAAAUAAUACCCAAGAAUUACAAAUGAAAUGAGAUAAACCUGUCUAAACCAAACCCUGACAGGAUUUGGAAUUUUGUUGAUUACUUGGAUGGUCACUUUAUACAAGUUUAAUAAGUUUGUUAAUAGGAAUAUCAAUGCAAGAAAAUAUCCAGAUUUUAACACAUUUUACAUUUUUUUUAACAUAGUUUGCCUAGAUUCAUCUAUAAAAAUGUUAAUAACCGAACCAUGACAUGUUUUGUAAUGUUUAGAAAUGAAUGAGAUAUAUACAGAGCCUUAAAUAUUCUGAACUUAUAUAUGUUGUCAAAAUUCACACCCAUUUCACCAAAACCUUAAAUUGUAGAGCAAUACAGCUAUCAAUGUGGACUGAAAAAUGUUACAAAACAAAUGUCGGAGCUCAUUUGAGAAUAAAGUUAAGGGAGACAAUCAGUUUUUACACGGUUGAUUUAGACAAGAUUUCACUGUAAUUGAUAAAAUAAACCCCCAAAAAACUUCAGUUGUUUGUUCUGAAUUCAACCCGUUAUUUGUUUCUAAGAGCUAAUAAUUAUAUAACAAACUAUUUCAAAAAGCUGGUUUCUGCCAUUGAUGAGUUUGAAACAAAACAAAAACAUUCAUAACUUUUCUGAAAUAUUACAUGAUGGCGGACUUAUAUCGUAAUACAUUGUACAUAAAACCACAAAAUAUGUGGAUUGUAAAACAUAAUAAAUAUAAUAACAACAACAAAAAAAACAAAAAAUCAAGGCUAUUAAACAUGAUAUCAUAAUGAGGCUUUACAUCAUGACAUCAUAUGAUAUGUUUAAACAUAACUAAAAACCUAAAACAACAAAGGCAUAGAACACGUCUAGAGGAAUGAUAAUUGAACACUUUAUAUUUUAAUGAACGCAUAUUUUAGUUACACAUUUUCCCACAGUAAAAAAGAUGCUGAACAAUAUUAUUGCCAAAAAAAUUAUGUGUGUUUAUUCAAUGAAUUAUUGUGUAAAGAUAAAAACUUGAGGGAAUCUCAAUAUCUUUGUUAACAACGACCAAAAUAAACCCAGAAAACUGAAAGUUAACUUACCCCAGACACCAAUAGUUCAAAUAUUGCACAUUCUUUGCUCUUAUCAAUUAGAUAACUAUACAUUCAGAAAUAAUUGUGUUGUUUUUAUUAAUGCCACUAGUAUUGCAAUAAAAAGACUGACAUUUUGAUAUAUGAUACAUAUAUCUGUAUGCUGCUGUUCCCAAAAUCACAAUAAUAUAUAUCACCCUUUUUUAACAGUUCUUUAAUAAAUGCACACAAUAAUUUCUGAAUUUACAGUAAUACUAUUUGUUUUUGAGAAAAAGCUACAAGGAAUUCAAUUAAUUAAGUCUCCUCCCAUACAACAGAAUUACCACAAAAACAUAUUGUGGAUAAAGAUAAACCAUGAUUAUAAAUAUUCAACAAAGUAUUCAUUUUCUUUAGGCUUGUAUGCAAACUUCAGUGGCGGAUCCAGCCAUUUGAAAAAGGGGGGGUUCCCAACCCAGGACAAAAGGGGGGGGGUCCAACUAUAUGUCCCCAUUCAAAUGCAUUGAUUGUCCCAAAAAAAGGGGGGGUUCCAACCCCGGAACCCUCCCCUGGAUCGGCCACUGAACUUUGGCAAAUCAACAAAAUCAAAUAUCCAGGCAAGUACAAUUUCUCUUACAUCCAUGAAAAUUGUUAACCAUUAAAAUAAAUGAAUCCUCAGAAUUAGGAAAAGUAUAUUGUUUUCAAUAUGUAUAUUCAAAUCAACAACUUAUAAAGAUAUAAAACAAUUUGAUUUUUGUUACUGCACACACUGUGAAACAGUUCAAUCAGUUACUAUAAAUAAGGACUCUGUAAAAUUUCUUUCUAGAAAAAACCCCACUCAUAUUGAAUAAUUUAAGACCAGGAAAAAAAGUGUGUUUCUAGUUUCAGAUUAUCUUCCUUGAUUUGUCACUGUUCAAAUCCUUGUCUGUAUACAAUGUUAGAUAUCUAUAAAAUUAUCUUACAGCAAAAAGAGACCCACAAAUAUUUUGCUAGCCUAAAAACUAACUACUGCAAAAUAAAUUACUUUUAAUAAAGCCUUCUAUUAGAGUUUGUCGAUUUAUUUGCCAGAUUUUUUCUUAAGGCAUUUUUAUGACAGAAGUUCCAGCAAUUGAUAUUGGUGCAACGUUUUCUACUGUUGAAGGUAGAGAAAUAGAUCCCUCACAGAAUUUACGUGUUUACAAUAAUAGAAGCAAUGUAACACACAAUGUUAGGCUCAUUUCAAAAACUAUCACUGUCAAAUACAUCAUAAGAACUUUUACUGGCUAUAACUCUGCAUUGAAACACAUAGAUGUUUGAAUUAAAUACAUCAUAAGAACUUUUACUAACUCUGCAUUGAAACACAUAGAUGUUUGAAUUAAAUAAAUGAAAAAAGGAAAUAACAAAUUUCAUACAUAACAAUGUAGUUUUAAAAUUAAUCAAUGAAACAUUUAAAACAGUAAUAACAUUACAAUAAAAACAUGAUUUUUCCUAGACGAUAAAUUUUGAUCAAAGUUGUAUGUAUGGGUAUAAUAUCCCUAAAUACCAAUGGAUUAUACCAUUACCAGAUGGCCGACACACAAUACUACAUAUAUAUUACAAUGGAAGACUAGAUGAUGUAUGUGUUCAUAAAAGUUUGGCUUAAAUACCAGCAUACAAAGUUGAACAAGAGAUCACAAAUGUGCACCAAUUAAUUUCAAACUUCUUAAUUUGUAUACAAUGUUUGUUUCUAAGUAAAAAAGAAUAAUGUUUAAGUAAGACAUAGUUAUUAAUAAAACUUGUCAUUCAAACCUUCUAGUUUAAAUUGAAAAAUUUAUUUGGAAAAUAAGUCCAAAGUUCCGAUUUAGUCCCUAAAGACAAUUAUGAUCCCAUCCCUGUUGUAUUUGCAUGUUUUGAUUUUAUGUUUUUAACAUAACAGCCAAGUAAACAUCUCGUGUUCAACAUUAAUGCUUAGUCUUCAUUACAUAAAAGCACCAUCUUCACCAAAAAAAAAAAUAAGCACUUGAAAGUUAAAUGCUUUUAAUGAGAAUCUUAAUUCACUUACUGAAAUUUAAUUAAAUUAAUCAUAUUCACAACUUAUAUUUCAAAU